GAUGAACGCUGGCGGCGUGCCUAAUACAUGCAAGUCGAGCGAAUGAUGAGGAGCUUGCUCCUCUGAUUUAGCGGCGGACGGGUGAGUAACACGUGGGUAAUCUGCCUGUAAGACGGGGAUAACUCCGGGAAACCGGGGCUAAUACCGGAUAACAAGAGAAGAAGCAUUUCUUCUUUUUGAAAGUCGGUUUUGGCUGACACUUACAGAUGAGCCCGCGGCGCAUUAGCUAGUUGGUGAGGUAACGGCUCACCAAGGCGACGAUGCGUAGCCGACCUGAGAGGGUGAUCGGCCACACUGGGACUGAGACACGGCCCAGACUCCUACGGGAGGCAGCAGUAGGGAAUCUUCGGCAAUGGGCGAAAGCCUGACCGAGCAACGCCGCGUGAGCGAUGAAGGCCUUCGGGUCGUAAAGCUCUGUUGUUAGAGAAGAACAAGUACGAGAGUAACUGCUCGUACCUUGACGGUACCUAACCAGAAAGCCACGGCUAACUACGUGCCAGCCGCCGCCGUAA
RNAcentral lists this ribosomal RNA (512 nucleotides) under uncultured bacterium. Its description in RNAcentral is "partial 16S ribosomal RNA". It matches the Rfam family "Bacterial small subunit ribosomal RNA", at positions 28 to 523 of the family's 1533-position model. The record is from RNAcentral.